UGUAAGCGUAUACCAAAGUUGUUGCAGUUAAAACGCUCGUAGUCGGAAUUUGGCAGUUCCAGAUGUGUGCACGUCGUGUGCGCACUUCGCGGGGAUUGCUUUUGUGGUCUUGCGUAGGAUGAGGCACUUUUAUUAGUGAACGUCCUCACGCAACCACUUUUUACUGUGAGAAAAUCAGAGUGCUCAAAGCAGGCAUUUGCCGUGAAUGUAUUAGCAUGGAAUAAUAGAAUAGGACUUGGUUCUAUUUUGUUGGUUUGUUGGGACUGAGUAAUGAUUAAGAGGGACAGUUGGGGGCAUUUGUAUUUCGGUGCUAGAGGUGAAAUUCUUAGAUUACCGAAAGACAAACUGCUGCGAAAGCGUCUGCCAAGGAUGUUUUCAUUGA
Molecule: ribosomal RNA, 382 nt
Filed under: uncultured eukaryote
Lineage: Eukaryota
Description: partial 18S ribosomal RNA
Rfam family: Eukaryotic small subunit ribosomal RNA
Source: RNAcentral